Molecule: non-coding RNA, 243 nt
Organism: Pelobates cultripes (western spadefoot toad)
Lineage: Eukaryota; Metazoa; Chordata; Amphibia; Anura; Pelobatidae
Source: the annotation of a GenBank genome assembly
UGGGAUGGCACCAUAACCACUACAGUGCCCCUUAAAAUAGAACAAAACAAACAUGUUCAAAUAUUUACAAAGUAAUUUAUACACAUUUAAUUGCUGUAGUCCAUCAUGAUUUGGCUUUGCACAUGUUAUAUUACUGGCUCUUAAGCAGUGUCUGUAGUACAUGAACAUGUUUUUCUUCGCAGUAAACUCAUUUUAGCUGUAAAAAGGUGGAGAAAAAAAAAAAAAAAACCCACCCAAAUACCC